AUUGAACGCUGGCGGCAUGCCUUACACAUGCAAGUCGAACGGCAGCACGGGGGCAACCCUGGUGGCGAGUGGCGAACGGGUGAGUAAUGUAUCGGAACGUGCCCUGGAGUGGGGGAUAACUAGUCGAAAGAUUAGCUAAUACCGCAUACGAUCUACGGAUGAAAGUGGGGAUCGCAAGACCUCAUGCUCGUGGAGCGGCCGAUAUCUGAUUAGCAGUUGGUAGGUAAAGCCUACCAAGGCGACGAUCAGUAGCUGGUCUGAGAGGACGACCAGCCACACUGGGACUGAGACACGGCCCAGACUCCUACGGGAGGCAGCAGUGGGAAUUUUGGACAAUGGGGGCAACCCUGAUCCAGCAAUGCCGCGUGAGUGAAGAAGGCCU
Molecule: ribosomal RNA, 382 nt
Filed under: uncultured bacterium
Lineage: Bacteria
Description: bacterial SSU rRNA
Rfam family: Bacterial small subunit ribosomal RNA
Source: RNAcentral